UGCAAACACCAGUUCCCAUACUAUCACCGAAGUUAAGCCACAUCAAACUGGGUCAGUACCUAGAUGGGUGACCAUUUGAGAAUAUCAGUUGCU
Acanthosepion pharaonis is the source of this 93-nucleotide non-coding RNA. The record is from the annotation of a GenBank genome assembly. Lineage: Eukaryota; Metazoa; Mollusca; Cephalopoda; Sepiida; Sepiidae.